Molecule: small nuclear RNA, 118 nt
Organism: Brassica oleracea var. oleracea
Lineage: Eukaryota; Viridiplantae; Streptophyta; Magnoliopsida; Brassicales; Brassicaceae
Rfam family: U5 spliceosomal RNA
About the family: U5 RNA is a component of both types of known spliceosome. The precise function of this molecule is unknown, though it is known that the 5' loop is required for splice site selection and p220 binding, and that both the 3' stem-loop and the Sm site are important for Sm protein binding and cap methylation.
Source: Rfam
AGCCAUGUGGUGAGCACAAAGCGAACUAUUCUUUCGCCUUUUACUAAAGAAUACCGUGUGCUCUCCACGCUAAAUGGCAUACGCCUAUUUUUGGAGGGUCCCGCUUUCGAGUGGGCCC